RNAcentral lists this ribosomal RNA (251 nucleotides) under uncultured bacterium. RNAcentral's name for it is "partial 16S ribosomal RNA". It matches the Rfam family "Bacterial small subunit ribosomal RNA", at positions 524 to 776 of the family's 1533-position model. The record is from RNAcentral.
UACGUAGGGUGCGGACGUGUCCGGAAUUAUUGGGCGUAAAGAGCUCGUAGGCGGUUUGUUGCGUCUAUCGUGAAAACCUGCAGCUUAACUGUGGGCUUGCGGUGGAUACGGGCAGACUUGAGUUCGGUAGGGGAGACUGGAAUUCCUGGUGUAGCGGUGAAAUGCGCAGAUAUCAGGAGGAACACCGGUGGCGAAGGCGGGUCUCUGGGCCGAUACUGACGCUGAGGAGCGAAGCGUGGGGAGCGAACAGG